This 211-nucleotide ribosomal RNA is filed under the name uncultured bacterium. RNAcentral's name for it is "partial 16S ribosomal RNA". It matches the Rfam family "Bacterial small subunit ribosomal RNA", at positions 1288 to 1500 of the family's 1533-position model. The record is from RNAcentral.
CGUUCGGAUUGCAGUCUGCAACUCGAGUGCAUGAAGCUGGAAUCGCUAGUAAUCGCGGAUCAGAAUGCCGCGGUGAAUACGUUCCCGGGUCUUGUACACACCGCCCGUCACACCAUGGGAGUCGGGAAUGCCCGAAGCCGGUGGCCCAAUCGAGAGAAGGGAGCCGUCGAAGGCAGGCCGGAUGACUGGGGUGAAGUCGUAACAAGGUACC